AACGAACGCUGGCGGCAUGCCUAACACAUGCAAGUCGAACGAGACCUUCGUGCCUAGUGGCGCACGGGUGGUUAAGGCCUGGUAACCUGCCCUUAGGUUCGGUAUCACUCCCCUUAAGAUGUGCUAAUACCGGUUAAUCUCAUCGGACCAAAGAGUUAUUGCCUUUGGGUGGGCCUGCGUUGGAUUAGCCGGUUGGGAGGGUAAACGCAGACUAAGGCGACGAUCCAGAGCUGGUGGGUGAGGAUGAUCAGCGAGACUGGGACUGAGACACGGCCCAGACUCCUACGGGAGGUAGCAGAGGGGAAUAUAGGACAAUGGGCGAAAGCCUGAUACAGCAAUGCCGGGAGAGUGAUGAAGGGCUUAGGGUUGUAAAGCGCUUUUACCCGAGAUGAUAAUGACAGUACCGGGAGAAUAAGCUCCGGCUAACUCCGU
RNAcentral lists this ribosomal RNA (432 nucleotides) under uncultured bacterium. RNAcentral describes it as "partial 16S ribosomal RNA". It matches the Rfam family "Bacterial small subunit ribosomal RNA", at positions 29 to 506 of the family's 1533-position model. The record is from RNAcentral.